CAGCAGCCGCGGUAAUACGUAGGGUGCGAGCGUUGUCCGGAAUUACUGGGCGUAAAGAGCUCGUAGGCGGUUUGUCACGUCGUCUGUGAAAUCCUAGGGCUUAACCCUGGACGUGCAGGCGAUACGGGCUGACUUGAGUACUACAGGGGAGACUGGAAUUUCUGGUGUAGCGGUGGAAUGCACAGAUAUCAGGAAGAACACCGAUGGCGAAGGCAGGUCUCUGGGUAGUAACUGACGCUGAGGAGCGAAAGCAUGGGUAGCGAACAGGAUUAGAUACCCCCGUAGUCCCUGUCUCUUAUAC
This 301-nucleotide ribosomal RNA is filed under the name uncultured bacterium. RNAcentral's name for it is "partial 16S ribosomal RNA". It matches the Rfam family "Bacterial small subunit ribosomal RNA", at positions 509 to 807 of the family's 1533-position model. The record is from RNAcentral.